UACGGAGGGAGCUAGCGUUGUUCGGAAUUACUGGGCGUAAAGCGCGCGUAGGCGGCUUUGUAAGUUAGAGGUGAAAGCCCGGGGCUCAACUCCGGAAUUGCCUUUAAGACUGCAUCGCUAGAAUCCGGGAGAGGUGAGUGGAAUUCCGAGUGUAGAGGUGAAAUUCGUAGAUAUUGGGAAGAACACCAGUGGCGAAGGCGGCUCACUGGCUCGGUACUGACGCUGAGGCGCGAAAGCGUGGGGAGCAAACAGG
RNAcentral lists this ribosomal RNA (253 nucleotides) under uncultured bacterium. Its description in RNAcentral is "partial 16S ribosomal RNA". It matches the Rfam family "Bacterial small subunit ribosomal RNA", at positions 524 to 776 of the family's 1533-position model. The record is from RNAcentral.